CUCUUGUUUGCACUCAAGAUUGGAUGAGGCGUGCAUGUCAUAUCACCAAUGAAGAGGAUACUGAGGAGUUGGCCAAUCUGGAAGAAGGUACCUUGCAGUUUGUUAUUUGUUGAUUGUUGUUGUGCACAUUAACUCAUUAACUUCUUGUUCUUAUUGCUUUAAUUGAGUUUUUAUUUCAGCACUUUUUGCAGAAAUGGAUAGUUCGAAUAUUGCCAACAAUACUGAUACAGCUUCUAAGGACAAGGAAAUUGUGAUUGAGUGAUAUAGAAAUAAUCAAAUAAGGUAAUUGUGCUUGUGCUGUGUAAGUUAAUUUUGUCACUAUUAUUGUCAUACUGUGUAAGUUACACAAUGUAAAUUGUAAUUGUGCUUGUGCUGUCUUGCUGGCCAGGUGGUGGACUGGUCACUGGCAGGUGGCAGCGUGUGUGGAGUGGAGUUGCUGCCCAAGUGCCCAGUGCGCAGUGCCCAGGCAAGGCAUGGCGUGCGUGGUCACUGCCUCACUGGCAGGUGGCGCUCAGCCCAGUCAUGGCGUGAGUGGAGUUGACGCCAUGCUGAGUUGUUGUGUUGUCCAGUGUCCAGGCGCCCAGUCCAGUUUGUUGUUUGCUCCAGCCUCCAAGAAUCAAGUUGCCAAGUUGGCUUUUGUCAAUUGAAUUAUAUUGUAUGAACUUGUUAAAUUACUCCUAUUCUCUUGUCCAUAUGUUGUGGUACAAUGGUAGUGGUAUUGUAUUGUGUGAAUUUGUUUCUAAGUUAAUUUGUUAUGAACUUUGUAUGGAUCUAUGUGCAUUAUUGUAUGGUAUUAAUUUGUGUGAACUUGC
Molecule: long non-coding RNA, 812 nt
Filed under: Zea mays
Lineage: Eukaryota; Viridiplantae; Streptophyta; Magnoliopsida; Poales; Poaceae
Description: long non-coding RNA (ZMAY_LNC000664)
Source: RNAcentral